UUCUCCUACGGGGGGCAGCAGUGAGGAAUAUUGGUCAAUGGGAGAGAUCCUGAACCAGCCAAGCCGCGUGAGGGAUGAAGGUACAGAGUAUCGUAAACCUCUUUUGUCAGGGAACAAAGGCGGGGACGUGUCCCCGGAUGAGUGUACCUGAAGAAAAAGCAUCGGCUAACUCCGUGCCAGCAGCCGCGGUAAUACGGAGGAUGCGCGCGUUAUCCGGAUUUAUUGGGUUUAAAGGGUGCGCAGGCGGUCUGUUAAGUCAGCGGUCAAAGUCCGGGGCUCAACCCCGGCCCGCCGUUGAAACUGGG
This 305-nucleotide ribosomal RNA is filed under the name uncultured bacterium. RNAcentral's name for it is "bacterial SSU rRNA". It matches the Rfam family "Bacterial small subunit ribosomal RNA", at positions 334 to 637 of the family's 1533-position model. The record is from RNAcentral.